Molecule: transfer RNA, 57 nt
Filed under: Loxodonta africana (African savanna elephant)
Lineage: Eukaryota; Metazoa; Chordata; Mammalia; Proboscidea; Elephantidae
Rfam family: tRNA
About the family: Transfer RNA (tRNA) molecules are approximately 80 nucleotides in length. Their secondary structure includes four short double-helical elements and three loops (D, anti-codon, and T loops). Further hydrogen bonds mediate the characteristic L-shaped molecular structure. tRNAs have two regions of fundamental functional importance: the anti-codon, which is responsible for specific mRNA codon recognition, and the 3' end, to which the tRNAs corresponding amino acid is attached (by aminoacyl-tRNA synthetases). tRNAs cope with the degeneracy of the genetic code in two manners: having more than one tRNA (with a specific anti-codon) for a particular amino acid; and 'wobble' base-pairing, i.e. permitting non-standard base-pairing at the 3rd anti-codon position.
Source: Rfam by way of RNAcentral
AGCUUGGUCGGUAAAGCAUGAGACUCUUAAUCUCAGGGUUGUGGGUUCGUGCCCCAU